GUCCUAGUAUGGCUCUGCAGCGGCACUAUUACCCCAUUGAAGUGCCGCUCGAAGACAGACAAGGCAACCAUGUCUUAGGUGUAUUGCACACGGUAGCUACCCAAGGCCGCGUUGCCGCGCAAGCGGUUACCUAUUUGUAUAGCGCCUAGGGAACAUCGCGGCGUGUCACCCUGUUCGAGGCUCGAUACCGCUGCUGCCUCCGCCCUCCGUUACCUAAGCUCAUAGAUAGUCUAGGCUAACUGUCCAUACAAACGACCGCGUUUAAUCCUCACGAGACAACAAAACCGUCCAAGGGCAACGGCCUAGAGCAUCCGCCGCUGACGGGUGGCCUGCCGCUGGGGCAGGUUUGAGACCGGAAGCGCCGGCGGCUAAGCUCGUAACCACUACACCCGCUACGCCGUGACUGUCAAGUUGAUCCGGACUUGUCGUGGACGCUACCGGACUCGAACAGUCGCGGUCUGAACCUUGUCAGUUGACCGUUUCUGCUAGGCGUACGCGGCCCGACCUGUUUCUCAAAUUGUUCUCGUAGGGUGCCUAACUAACCAACCUUCCUCUUGACGUUGUUCUAUACGACGACUUUUUAGUUAUACCUCAAGCUCAGUCCAGCUACACGACGUCAUUGGAGCCGACUGGAUAGAACCCGGAAAGUUACCGCAGCACGAGACGUUGAAUACUAUAGGAUUAAGAUAACGAUACAACUCUAUAGAUGGAGGAUAUUGGACACAACUUCAGAAUUAUACGAAGACAGUACCGGAAGAAGUCAAACUUCAGUAAAGUACUUACACCUAUAUCCGAAGUCUUGAAUACGAUCUCGUCUCAAUUUAUGUGAUAAAAGACAAUUUUUUUGAGAAAUCAGGUCAACAAUCGUUUUAGCAUCGAAGAAGACCGGACGAAUAUUUAUAGAAACGAUACAAAAUGUAAGUUCGAUGGGUAAUCAAGAUAUAACGACGUGCAUGGGAAAAAUCCUGUCUACAAACGGUUUUAAUAACAUGGUUAAUAAGACCCACUACAAGAUAUACGAGUAACAAUUUUGAGGGUGUUAUUUUCAUAAAAAAGAAGAGUUCCGUUAAGCAUGUCUGUACUAAUGUUUUUGACCAACCCCAAAAGGGUAGGAUCGUUUAUAAGUGUAAAAGGAAACGUUUGUUUUUUCCUAUAAAGCGAAGUGUUUUUCAAUUGAAAGUGGAGUGCACGGAGGUAUGCAAAGAAUAUUUAAAGAUGGUAAGGUACAUAAAAUAUUUUAGGAUGAGGGAGGCAAAGGAUUUAUAUCCAUAAAAUCUCUAAAGUUACACCUAAUCUAUGCCUACAUAUAUCUACCUAAAAUCUCACUCUAAGUGGGUAAAGCGAGGCAUACGUCAAGUAUAACUUUAGAAGAUUUUUCUGAACAUAAAUCCUUGCCUCCCUCAUGGAAAAUAGCGGUUUUAACUGCCCACUUUGUAAACUCACCCACAAGUUACUUAAAUAGUCGUACUACACGCUAAUAAGACAAGAGACAAAAUUUAAAACAAUCGAAAGUCAAGGUACAACAUAGGGACAGUACUAACGAGGCGACUCACAAACGAGAAAGUUGUAAGAUAUAUCAUGCGAGUACGGAAACUUAUAAACGAGAGAUGCCUCAAAGGUAAAAAUUCAUACCACGAAACUAUCCUCUACAAAAGUACAGACACGUCUAGUCACGUCCCGCUACUUCCAUCGUUAUCUUUUUCACUACGGUUCGUCGUGCGUGACCACCACGUUCACAGUGCACGAAUUCUUUCGUUUUCUUAUAGAACCAGGCAUAAUGUGUUUCUGCUCGUUUAAGUCUAGUCUAAAGGUGUUUUAUUAUGUAGUGUACGACUGCCAACUACUCAAGCUCUGACGUACCUUUCACGACUGUCUCUGUGUACCAGAUUUUUUUGUGGUAAUGGAUUGCGUCUAGAUACUUUAUUCUAGUUUCACCAGUUUUGGUACGAAGUUCCCUUUUAAAACACGUUUUUACUGGUCGUCUUGCGUCGCUUUCGCGGUUGGCAUACGACUUCCCAUACAGGGACGUUCGACGUAGUACGUAAAUAAACAAGCUGUCAUGUACUCCGAAGAAAAGCUAUCCCUCCGUUCACUCUUGAUACUUCUCUCUCCGCAUGUUUUUAUUGUAGGGGUCACUACUUUUACUUGUUUAGUGACCUCAACGUACGACCACUACAGAUGUGAGCUCGAUACAAACUUUUAAAACCACUUGAUGACAUGCUCCGGCCUGUAAAGUCCCAUCUUCUCUAACUAUUUCCGUUCUACAUAACACCGCUGCGAUGGUGGGUCUCUUUGUACUGUUCAUCACGUCCCAUCUCAUAUUUCACCUCCAAUAACUACUCCCGUCCCUUGAGUGUACAGGAGCUAAAGGAUCCAUGUCUGGUCUAUGGUCGUUUCGUGUAAGAGUUCGCUACCUGUUUUCUACGUUCCCUAUACGACGGUCUAGUGAACCGUGUAGAAGUCUUCCUAUCUUAAAGUCAAUUUGAGUUAUUGUAAGUCUGUGAGAUUGGACAUGUGGGUACGUGAACUCCAACGUUCUGAACCUCUACGUUUGUGUAUUUGUAUACUUAUACGUUACCUAGAGAACUUUCUCGUUUAGGCCCUUGACUGUUGAUACCGUCGAUAGGUCUACCUUACCCGAAUCUUCUGUCUUAAAUCGGUCCGUUCUCCCUUUCGUUUCUUCGCUAAUGUACCGUACGUUGAGUGUUGCCUACAAACAUAACUGUGGCUUCCAUCACAUUAACCAUUAAAGUACCAAGAUUUCCGAGACCUCUCUAUCGCAUUCCGCCCGGCUGGUUGGUGGUCCACUCGUUCGGCGGUAUGCUACUGGACCCACGUUUUUCGUUUUUCAGGUUUUACCGUCAUGCGACCACGACCACCACGUACGCCACGUUCGCUUGUGUAAGCACGACCACCACGUACGCCACGUUCGCUUGUGUAAGCACGACCACCCGUGUUCUCGUAGUGGACAGGUGUCUCCCCACUAGAAGGAGCUUUUCUUUCCUUCCUUCGUUUUACAAGUUUGACCCCUCAACCACCAGUGUCCUUCUUGUGGACGUUGUUUGGAUUUCAACACUACGUACAACAACUUUGACCAUGAAAUGUCGUUGUCGUCGACACGUUCACUGGACUAAUCGUCCGGGACUUUCAAAUAACGCACAACAACUCCCGAGGCAUCGUCGAACAUAAUAUAAUACACAUUAUUAUUAUUGACAAUGACAUAUGAGACCCAACAACGAAGUCAAACGGGCUGGAUUAUGUAGCGGAAAACAAUAAACUCUAUUAAUCAUGGUAGAUUACCACCGAUGCGUACAAGGAGUUAUAAUGACUUUGAAGAUC
RNAcentral lists this ribosomal RNA (3339 nucleotides) under Triticum aestivum (bread wheat). RNAcentral describes it as "partial small subunit ribosomal RNA". The record is from RNAcentral. Lineage: Eukaryota; Viridiplantae; Streptophyta; Magnoliopsida; Poales; Poaceae.